GUUUAUCUCUAAUCUACAGCUCAGGUGUCCUCAGUGAAAUUGUCCUACAGCUGCUUGUUCUUCAAAGUCAGGAAAGUGUUCUGUUCUGCUGAUGGAGACAACCUUCACUUCAGCUGGACUUCUGUGUCAAACACUCGGUUGGAGGACGACAACAAAACUCUCGUACUGGAUAAAAUACAUAAUAAUAAUGUCACCUGUCAUGUAGAAAAUCACAUCAGUCGUGUGCACAAUACAAUUAACCUCCCGACUUGUAUUGAUUUCAUGGUUGUGUUUGUGCUCGUGUGGCUCUUUGAGGUCAUCAUCCUGCUGUCUGUGUUAGUGGGCACACUGUACAUUUACCCCAGAAUCUCCAGGAAACAGAGGACACCAAAGAGACCAGGAAGCUCAGUAACCCUGAACAAGGAUUAGAAGAGGCAGUCUGUGGCUGAUCUCCUCUAUAUGAGCAGGCAUCGCUCUCCGUCUCAUCCAGACUAAAACCUGAUAAAACUGUAACCAUUACCAUAACAGUGUAACAGUGCUAUCUGCUUACCGACAUUGCUUUUGCUCUCUGUUUUGGAUUAUUUGCUGUGUUUUAAAUAAAAUAAUUCAGCCUCAUUAUUCAUAUAUCAUACUGAGUGCUAAUUUUGUUUAUGUUUUACUUCUAAUAUUCUAACCACAAUGUAAUGCUUUGAUGCUACAAAGGCUACAAUAUUAAAUAUUUUUAAUAUUUAAUGUAAAUCCAGUUCUACAUCUAAUUCUAAGUCCUAUGUAAUGAAUGUGUAAAUGCUGAAAUAAAACCUACACACUGA
Long non-coding RNA from Tachysurus fulvidraco (yellow catfish), 788 nucleotides. RefSeq lists it as uncharacterized. The transcript is spliced from 3 exons. The record is from RefSeq and is a predicted model, not a curated record. Lineage: Eukaryota; Metazoa; Chordata; Actinopteri; Siluriformes; Bagridae.